UGCUAAACAGCUAACCCAAAACCCAAAAAACAACAAAUCUAUAUAAAUAACCCCAAAAUAUCUAAUAAGACAAAAAACAAACCAUUUUUCCCCCUUAGUAUAGGCGAUAGAAAAGGACACAAAGAGUAACAGAAAAAGUACCGCAAGGGAACGCUGAAAGAGAAAUGAAACAAUCCAGUCAAGCCAAUAAAAGCAGAGAUUAAACCUCGUA
RNAcentral lists this ribosomal RNA (211 nucleotides) under Acanthurus olivaceus (orangespot surgeonfish). RNAcentral's name for it is "partial 16S ribosomal RNA". Lineage: Eukaryota; Metazoa; Chordata; Actinopteri; Acanthuriformes; Acanthuridae. The record is from RNAcentral.